UACGUAGGGUGCGAGCGUUAAUCGGAAUUACUGGGCGUAAAGCGUGCGCAGGCGGUUCGUUGUGUCGGCGGUGAAAGCCCCGGGCUUAACCUGGGAAUGGCCGUUGAAACUGGCGAACUGGAGUGUGGCAGAGGGUGGUGGAAUUCCGCGUGUAGCAGUGAAAUGCGUAGAGAUGCGGAGGAACACCGAUGGCGAAGGCAGCCCCCUGGGCUAACACUGACGCUCAGGCACGAAAGCGUGGGGAGCAAACAGG
Molecule: ribosomal RNA, 253 nt
Filed under: uncultured bacterium
Lineage: Bacteria
Description: partial 16S ribosomal RNA
Rfam family: Bacterial small subunit ribosomal RNA
Source: RNAcentral